CCACACCAGUUCCCGUACGAUCACCGAAGUUAAGCAAUGUCGCGCCUGGUCAGUACCAAGAUGGGUGACUGUAUGGGAAUAUUAGGAGU
This is a non-coding RNA of Acanthosepion pharaonis, 89 nucleotides long. Lineage: Eukaryota; Metazoa; Mollusca; Cephalopoda; Sepiida; Sepiidae. The record is from the annotation of a GenBank genome assembly.